RNAcentral lists this ribosomal RNA (256 nucleotides) under uncultured bacterium. RNAcentral describes it as "partial 16S ribosomal RNA". It matches the Rfam family "Bacterial small subunit ribosomal RNA", at positions 524 to 776 of the family's 1533-position model. The record is from RNAcentral.
UACGUAGGGUGCGAGCGUUGUCCGGAAUUAUUGGGCGUAAAGAGCUCGUAGGCGGUGUGUCACGUCGGCCGUGAAAACCUGCAGCUUAACUGUGGGCGUGCGGUCGAUACGGGCAUCACUGGAGUUCGGCAGGGGAGACUGGAAUUCCUGGUGUAGCGGUGAAAUGCGCAGAUAUCAGGAGGAACACCUGUGGCGAAGGCGGCCCCCUGGCCGGCCCUGACACUGAGACGCGGAAAGGCGUGGGGGAGCGAACGGG